RNAcentral lists this ribosomal RNA (329 nucleotides) under uncultured cyanobacterium. Its description in RNAcentral is "bacterial SSU rRNA". It matches the Rfam family "Bacterial small subunit ribosomal RNA", at positions 377 to 720 of the family's 1533-position model. The record is from RNAcentral. Lineage: Bacteria; Bacillati; Cyanobacteriota.
GAAAGCCUGACGGAGCAAUACCGCGUGAGGGAGGAAGGCUCUUGGGUCGUAAACCUCUUUUAUCAGGGAAGAAACAAAUGACGGUACCUGAUGAAUCAGCAUCGGCUAACUCCGUGCCAGCAGCCGCGGUAAUACGGAGGAUGCAAGCGUUAUCCGGAAUUAUUGGGCGUAAAGCGUCCGCAGGUGGUUUUGAAAGUUUGCUGUCAAAGCGCGGAGCUUAACUUCGUACCGGCAGUGAAAACUACGAGACUAGAGUUUGGUAGGGGUCACGGGAAUUCCCAGUGUAGCGGUGAAAUGCGUAGAGAUUGGGAAGAACACCAGCGGCGAAA